CCCUAAAAGCUUUAUUUUAAAUAUAUUUUAAAAAUUAAUUAUAAGUAGUAAAUUAAAUAUAAAAAUUAACUGGGGUAGUUGUUUCAAAAAAAUUGAAAUUUUUUUACAGUUUUAAAUAAAUGGUUUAAGUUCUUUUAGAUAAGGAAAAUUAGUGUUAGUUACUUUAGGGAUAACAGCGUUAUAUUUUUGGAGAGAUCUUAUCUAUAAAAAUGAUUGCGACCUCGAUGUUGAAUUAAAAUUACUUUAUAAAGUAGAAU
RNAcentral lists this ribosomal RNA (257 nucleotides) under Paralicella caperesca. Its description in RNAcentral is "partial 16S ribosomal RNA". Lineage: Eukaryota; Metazoa; Arthropoda; Malacostraca; Amphipoda; Lysianassidae. The record is from RNAcentral.